GAGGGGACGACCUCUCGCGACCGCAUCCCGCCGGGACGACCCGG
RNAcentral lists this non-coding RNA (44 nucleotides) under Wenxinia saemankumensis. RNAcentral describes it as "Guanidine-II sequence". It matches the Rfam family "Guanidine-II riboswitch aptamer (mini-ykkC)". From Rfam's summary of the family: Simpler in structure and has fewer highly conserved nucleotide positions than the ykkC-yxkD leader. Despite this each of its two stem-loop structures directly bind free guanidine. The record is from Rfam by way of RNAcentral. Lineage: Bacteria; Pseudomonadati; Pseudomonadota; Alphaproteobacteria; Rhodobacterales; Roseobacteraceae.